Molecule: ribosomal RNA, 373 nt
Filed under: uncultured bacterium
Lineage: Bacteria
Description: bacterial SSU rRNA
Rfam family: Bacterial small subunit ribosomal RNA
Source: RNAcentral
GUAGGGUGCAAGCGUUGUCCGGAAUUACUGGGCGUAAAGAGCUCGUAGGUGGUUUGUCGCGUCGUCUGUGAAAUCCCGGGGCUUAACUUCGGGCGUGCAGGCGAUACGGGCAUAACUUGAGUGCUGUAGGGGAGACUGGAAUUCCCGGUGUAACGGUGGAAUGUGUAGAUAUCGGGAAGAACACCAAUGGCGAAGGCAGGUCUCUGGGCCGUUACUGACGCUGAGGAGCGAAAGCGUGGGGAGCGAACAGGAUUAGAUACCCUGGUAGUCCACGCCGUAAACGGUGGAUGCUGGAUGUGGGGCCCUUUCCACGGGUUCCGUGUCGGAGCUAACGCGUUAAGCAUCCCGCCUGGGGAGUACGGCCGCAAGGCUA